GGGCCCGUAGCUCAGUGGUUAGAGCAGGCGGCUCAUAACCGCUUUGUCGCAGGUUCGAUACCUGCCGGGCCCA
RNAcentral lists this transfer RNA (73 nucleotides) under Anaerolineaceae bacterium. RNAcentral describes it as "tRNA-Ile". It matches the Rfam family "tRNA". Rfam says of the family: Transfer RNA (tRNA) molecules are approximately 80 nucleotides in length. The record is from RNAcentral. Lineage: Bacteria; Bacillati; Chloroflexota; Anaerolineae; Anaerolineales; Anaerolineaceae.